AAACAACUCAUCGUCCUCCCCCUCCUCCAACCCAUACCUCUAAUCCUCCUACGUCGUCCUCCAUAUUCUCCCUUAUUUCAUCAGGGAUAGCAGGUACGGAUAGUAUUGGUUGAUCAUCAAUCAUCGGAUGUAAGGUAUGUUACCUUCAUCUUCAUCUUCUACCCAGUUCCAUUUCUAUCUACCUCCGACCUCCGAUUUAUCACUUCCGACCAUCGAUUUUUAACCGAUCGACAAUGCCUCCAUAUUCUGCCUCAUCAGUGCUACCGUCCGACGGGCAAGGAGAGAGUCUGACACCUUCAUGGUUGGGUCCUCCUCCUUCAUUGCCGGUUCCUCCUCCUUCAUCGCCGGUUUGCAACGUCGAUGAUAGGUUCGAUCCUAUUGGACUCCCGACCUUCUGGGAGGACAUGGAAGAAAUUCGUGGAGUGUCCGACGAUGGAGUUCGCCUGAAGAAGGUAGUUCAUCUUAAAAAAAUUGUGUUAUGUUUCACUGAGUAAUGUAUUUCCAUAUUUCUUUUGAAUAUGUGAAAUAAUAAAUCGGAAGUCUCAUUUUCUUCCUAUUGGCACUAGUGAAAUCAUCUACAAUUAUUUUAGCUUGCCAUUACAUAUAAAUUUUGGUAAGAUGGUUACCUGAGGAGAGCUUCUAACGAGAAAUCAGUGAAGUUGAUGAUAGUAUUCACUGAGAUCAGUAGAGCUUCCGAUGAUUCUGAACAUGGGGGAUUGGGGCGAUGAUGUCACUACAAAAAACCAGCGCAGUUCUGGCGCCCAUCUCCCGGCGGCCUGGCCGCCGGUAGAUACUUUCGUCGGCCUGGCCGCCGGAAUGUUACACUUGUCCGCCUGCAUAAUUUUCCCUCGUAAAUGAGAGAAAUUUUCUGGCGGCCAGGCCGACGAAAUAUUUUUUUGUAAAAAAUUCCAGCGGCCUGGCCGCCAGCUCUAAUUCACCAACGGUCGGGAAGAAGUGUUCCGGCGGCCUGGCCGCCGGCAUACUAAAACCCUCAACGGUCGGGAGAAAAAUUCCCGGCGGCCUGGCCGCUGGAUACUUUUUCCCGCUUGUUUUUUUCAGUAGCCAGCGGCCUGGCCGCCAGAAAUUUUUGGAAAACCCUAAAUUUACAACUUGCGCCGCCGUGGUCCCCCGUACAGUCAAACUAAGUCAAACUAAACUUAAGUAUUUCCCGGCGGCCAGGCCGCCGGGAAUUUUUUAUAUAAGAAAAAAAUUUCCAGAUUCUUUCAUUUCCCCCAAAUCGUUCCCACUCCUCCCUAAUCUUCCCCAAGGCUCCUCCGACGAUCUAGGCAUCCUCCGGUCGGUUUUUUGUUGUCAUCAAAGGUAAAUGUUGUCUUCAUCUUGUUCUUCAUCUUUCUCUCUUCUUUUUGAUUUAUUUCCUCUUCCUCUUCUUCUUCUUGUUUUAGUUAUCAUUGUUUUAGUUAUCUUGUUUUUAGUUUUAGUUAUCAUUGUGUAUCCUAACUCUUAAAACCCAACUCUUAAAACCCUAAACCCCAACUUAUUAAAAUUCCCAAAUCUCUAAACCCCAACCCCUCCCUCCCUCACGAUUUUCAAUUUCUCCCAAACCCAAAUCCAAUCGUUCCGUUUCUUGCAUUCCUUUCCGAUUUCUCACAAACCACAACUUCCUCAUCUUCCGGCGAGCACGAGUUCUUCAUCUUCCGAAGGGCGCAGUGAGGACAGUGAGUCUUCCGGCAGAUUUGUUGAAUCACAAUCCUCCCUCUACCAGUGAGUUCUGUUUUUUAUCAUUGUGUAUCACAAUCUUCCGGCAGUGAGUUCUGUUUUUUAUCAUUGUCUCUGUAUCAAUUUCUUUUUCAAUAUUUGCUGAUUCCCCAUCUUAAAUCCACUGUAUUCAUCCCAGCUUCAACUGAUUUACGGCCUUCAGAAAAUAUUGAUAUUUAUGCUUAGUACAAUCAGGGAAAAUGAAACUGCAUUGUAUAAACUUGCCAUCACCAGCAACGUCAUUGGUUGCAUUGGCAACCUGUUUUACAAGUCUAGCACCCACAUUCUUAACCCUGUCCAUAAAUUCAAUGCUCUUUGCAACAGUAACACUAUCUAUGGUGACUUUUUGUGCACCAAAACUUUGUUCUAAAAUAACAUUACGACCCUGAUUUUUAGUUUCCACGCAUAUUCUAAUGGUUUUUUCAAUUCAAUCAAAAAUUCAACUCGAUUUUGUUUCUUUGUUCAAAUUCUUUUACUCUGUAACUUUAAUACUGUUCUGUCCAGAAUAAAAUUCAAUUCAAACAACACUUUCAAUUUCUGGUUUUAGAUUACAUUAGGUAUAUUGUAUACAGUUUGAUUCAACACUUUCAAUUUCAAAUCACACUUUCAAUUCAACAUGAUAUCAGCUAUUCUUGGGAUUCUCAUAAAUUCUUAACAUCACUCUCCAUCAAAUCAUUUAUUUUAAGGUUAAUAUGGAUACACCACCUACACCAACAACUAUAGUUACACCUCACCAGUAAAAUUUGGGUCAUGUUUCAUUAAGUGUGAAGUGUUUGUUAUUGAGGUUUGUUACAUUUUAAGUUUGAAAUGUUAGAUAGAUUCCACUUAAUCUAUCUAUGGAUUGUGUACAUUCUAAGUUUGAAAGUUUGUUAUUGAGGUUUAAUUCAUUUUAAUUUAGUGUUUCUUUAUUUUAGGUUGAAGGUUUGUUUUGCGGAUUUGAAGGCCGGUGUUAGUUUAGAAGCUUUGCGGAUCAAUGUAAUAAUAUUUAUUCAUUUAAUUUUUUUUAAUCUAAUUAGUUAAUCUAAUUUGCAUGUUAGUUAGAAAUUAGUUAAUCUAAUUUGCAUGCUAAGUAAUAGUAAAAUGAAAUGCAUGUUCUUAAAUUGUGUGAAUUGAAAAUGAAUUCAAAUUUUUUGAAAUGAAUUCUAUAAAAUGAAAUGUCAUGAAAUGAAUUAAAAUGCAUAAUUUUAAAAGAAUUCAUGAGUUGAAAUGAAAUUUAAAUUUAAAUAAAUGAAAUAAUUAUUUAAAUAAAUGUUUAGUAAUGUGAUUUUUAAUUAGUUUUUAAUAAAUGUUUAGUAAUUAUUUAUUAAUUAAAUUAUCUAAAAAUUAAAAUCACAUUUUUUAAUUAAUUGUUUAAAAAUUAAAAUGCCAUGUUAGGGUUAGGGUUAGGAUUGUAAUGUUUAGAAAUGCAGUGUUAGGGUUAGGGUUAGGAUUGUAAUUUUUUAUAAUUGAAUUUUAAUUAUUUAAUAAUUAAAAUCAUUUAUUUAAUUAAUAAUUAAAUAAAUAAUUAUUUAAUUAAAUUUAAAUAAUUAUUUAAUUAAUUAAUAAUUGAAAAAAAGUAACAAUCAGAUUUUGUAUAAGUGUGAUUGUUAGUUAGUUUUCAAAUAAUUGUUGAAUAAUCAAUUAUUAAUUAAUUAUUUAUUUAAUUAACUAAUAAUUAAUAAUUAAUUAAGAAAAUAUUGGAAAAUCCAUAAAUCAGUUUUUAUAUUAAGAACUUGAUUUAAAAUCCAAUGUUGAAAACAAUUAUUUAAAAAUUAAAAUCAUUAUUAUCCUUAUUUAAUUAAUUAUCUUUCGAUUAAUUAGAUUAUCAUAAUUAUUUAAUUAAUUAAUAAUUGAAAAAAAGUAACAAUCAGAUUUUGUAUAAGUGUGAUUGUUAGUUAGUUUUCAAAUAAUUGUUGAAUAAUCAAUUGUUAAUUAUUAAUUAAUUAUUAAAAUCAUUAUUAUCCUUAUUUAAUUAAUUAUCUUUCGAUUAAUUAGAUUAUCCUUAUUUUUUUUAGAUGUAUUGGUUAAUAGUAGCAUUCGUUAUAUCGGUUUUCAUGGUCGUCACGACUCCCGAUCGGAGUGAUGAUCAUUCAACUGACGAACAAGAAUAUGAUCAUCCGAAUCUACAUGAGAUGAACAUGGCUGGUGAUCAAACGAAGAAAAAAAGUAGAGAACAAAACAAAGAUCAUCCUGAAUAUCAUCCAUCACAAGGACAACGGUUUGUAAUAAAAUUCAAAGAUGAUCAAAUUGUCCAUGAUAGCGUAGGAAAAAAACUAAACAAGAAAUGCGCAAUGAUCGCGAACGAUUUCAAACUACUACCAAUGGACGUAUCGUGGUUUGAACAAGACCAGAAAAACAUAGAUGAGGCGAUGGAAACGAUUCAGGUUUAUUAAUUAAUAAUAUUUAAUUAUUAUUAUAGAUUUUAUAGUUAAUUAUUAAUUAAUGUUAUAAUUAUUCAUCGAACAGAGAGAAUUUGAUUACAGCGGGUCAACCUUUGGUUAUCGACGUAUCAAUGAAAGGUUAAACAAAUUAUGGAGAAGCGCUUAUAACUCGUUAUUGGAUAAAUAUAAUAACAAAGAUCUGACAGUCGAAGAGGUUAUGAGAACAUUACCCGACUACAUCAUCAAAGACCAAUUUCUAAAAAAACUGAUGGAGAGAAGAUCACCGAGGGGAUUAGUACGUAUUAAUUCAUUUCUUCUUUUUAAUUGCAUUUAAUAACUUUUUUUUUUUUUAACUUAAUUAUUUUAUUUUAACUUAAUAUAGGAAAUUUCUGAAAUUAACAAAGGCAAUCGGGCUAAACAAACAACACACAGUUUAGGUUCGAAGAGUCUGGCGGAAAGAAAUUACGAAGCUGUAAGUAAAUUAUUUAAUUUCAUAUUUACUUUCAAGUUCUUUUUAAUUUUUUCUUUCUUUUCCUAAUUUUAAUAUUACAGGAACAAAAGGGACUAAAUGAGAUUGAAACUUGGAAACUCAAUAUAAAGGCAGCUUAUCCAAAAGACGAACGAGUGGUUAAAGCGGUUAAAUGGAUCGACAGUGAAGAAGCCAAAAAUAUGGCUCAACAAGAAAAUAUGACUGACACGGUAAUUAUUUCAUAUUUUUUCCAAUACAAUUCAAUAGUUAUAUUUACAUUAAUUAUUAUCAUGUUUUCUUUUUCAUUAGGCUCUAAUCCAAUUUGUUAUAACCGAAUUUAUCGGUCGAAGCUCGAAGAAAUCAAGAAUAUUAGGAACAACUGGUUCCUCAUUGAGCAAAAAGACAACGCAUCGGAUGAAUGUGGGGAACUUCUGCAGUGACAAAGGAAAAGAUGCAAUGACCGGAGCAGAGGUUCAAGAUCAGGUCAACGAGGCUGUCGAGAGAGCGAUGGCUCGUCAGAAAGAGGAGAUGGCUCGUCAGAAUGAAGAGUUUAUGGCUCGUCAAAUGGCGUUUUUCCAACAAUACAACUCCGCAAUGCUCGCUCAAAAUCCGAACUUGCGCUUACCGGAGUUUCCGCCAUUCUUCAACAGCGAUGCAGCGCAGAACAUUUAUACUCCUGGAGCGUCAUCUUCUAGAGCCGCCGCACCGCCUACUCAACUACCAACGCAAGAAACUACGACGCCACAAGAGGAGCACACCACUUCACAACCGCGUGGAAGAUCGAUAAUAUUCACGACAGAGGCGUUACGAAAGGUGGUCGCAACUAAAAAAAAGAAAAAGAGCGAAAAAAAGAAGAAGUAAAAUUAGUGAUUGUCGAAGUUAUUUUUUGUUGUACAUUAAUUAUUAAACUUCAAAUUCAAUUUCAAUUUCAAUAUCAAUUUCAUUUUUAAUUUUAUUUUCAAUUUCAUUUUUAAUUUUAAUUUUAAUUUUAAUUUUUUUUUUUUUUUUUUCAAAAGUGAACCAGCGGCCAGGCCGCCAGAAAUUUCUUCCCGGGAAAUUUUUUUUCCUGCCGGGAAAUAUUGACCAGCGGCCAGGCCGUCGGAAAAUUAUUUUCCAAAAAUUAACAGGCGGCGGGCGGCCAGGCCGCCGGGAUAUAAUUUUCAAAAAAAAAUUUCGGCGACUAAGCCGCCGGGACAAUCUCUGUUAAAAUCGGAAUCCAAAAUUUUUUCCGGCGACAGCAACUCCGGCGACAGCAACUCCGGCGAUGGAAUCUCGUCGGCUUGGCCGCCAGGAACCAUUAUACCGGCGCCCUGGCCGCCGGAAUUUGCCGCCAGAAAUACGCUGAUUUUUUGUAGUGUGUAGAAAAGAUUUGCGCUUUGGUCCUUUAGUUUGUUUGAUAUCCGUUUCAUGAGUCACGGGCAAAUUACCUGCAUAGUAAACUUAGUACAAGAACUAGUUAGACACUCACAACAUUUAUUUAAUUCGUUUUAGGUCCAAUUUACAGAAUUACAAAUUUUGUAUUCUGUUUAUAAUUGGCCUAAUCUAACUAGGUUUAAUUAAUUCCUUUACUCCCCCCUCAAGCCUUGGAAUAUAUGUUGAUUAUUCCAAGCUUGGAAUGGGAAUUGGUGAUCUCUCUAUCACCUAAUGCUUUAGUUAAAAAACCAGCAAGUUGGAAUUUUGUUCCAACUUGUUUUAUUAGUAUUUUUCCUUGAUUGAUCAUUUCUCUUAUGAAAUGACAAUCUAUCUCUAUAUGUUUUGUUCUCUCAUGGAACACUGGGUUAUUUGCCAAAUAGAUGACUGAUUUAUUAUCACAAAACAAGCAGAUAGGUAGCUUUUUAAUUUUAACUUUUAACUCAUCCAUCAAUUGAUGGAUCCAUGUUAUCUCACAAGCUGUUUGAGCAAUUGCUCUAUAUUCAGCUUCACAAGAUGACCUUGCCACUGUAACUUGCUUCUUAGUCUUCCAUAAGACCAGUGAAUCUCCCACCAUUAUGCAAAAACCUAUUAAUGAUUUUCUACUUAUUUGGCAUGAUGCCCAAUCAACAUCACAAUACCCUUGUAAAUCCAUGUUUUUGAAUUUGCCAUAGAUUAAUCCCUGACCAGGUGCAUUUUUGAUAUAUCUGAUUAGUUUAAAUAGAACCUGAAGAUGUAUUUCUCUUGGCUCAUUCAUAAAUUGGCUCAGCCAAUUUACUGAGAAGCUAAUAUCUGGUCUAGUGAUGUUUAGGUAUAUAAGUUGUCCCACAAUCUUCCUAUAGAAUGUUGGGUUUUGAAUCUUUGAUGAUUUAUCAUUCUUGAGAUCUAUAUGUCUCUCCAUAGGUAUAAUUGAGGGUUUUGCUCCUGAGAGACCACAAUCCUCUAGAAUGCCUAGAGCAUACUUCCUUUGGGAGAGAUAUAUCCCUUUGUUGGAAUAUGAUACUUCUAUACCUAGGAAGUAGUUUAAUCUUCCUAAGUUAUUAUUAUAAAUAAUUUUAAUUAUUUCAAUUUCUAACUCAUUGCUCUCUGUUAUUAUUAUGUCAUCUACAUAAACUAUGAGAUAUAAUAUGUUUUGAUUUCUCUCUCUUAUAAAUAGGGAGUAAUCAGAUUUAGCUUGAGUAAAUCCAAUGUCUAAGAGUACUCUUAGUUUCUCAAACCAAUUCCUAGAGGCUUGUUUCAAUCCAUAUAAGGAUUUAUUGAAUUUACACACUCUUUUGUCUCCUUCUUCUAGGAGACCUUGUGGUGGUCUUAAGUAUAACCCUCUCCAUGCAAUUCUCCAUGGAGAAAAGCAUUGUUGACAUCUAACUGGUAUAAAUUCCAUCCUCUUAUGGAUGUUAUAGCUAUGAUGGUUUUAAUAGUCACCAUCUUGACCACUGGUGCAAAGGUUUCAAAAAAAUCAAAACCUUCUUUUUGUGUGAACCCUUUGGCUACUAGCCUUGCUUUGUAUCUUUCUAUAUCACCACUUGGUUUAUAUUUUAUUUUAUAGAUCUAUUUUGAACCUAUGGAUUUCCUAUCUUUUGGAAGGUCAGUUAGGGUCCAUGUGUUGUUUUCAUUGAGUGCUCUCAUUUCUUUUUGCAUUGCUUCAACCCAAUUUGGGUCUUUUGAAGCUUCUUCAAAAGAAUUGGGUUCAUCAUAUAUAGUUAUUUGUUUUAAAAAAUAUUUUUGUUGUUUGCUUGUCUUAUGAUAAGACACAUGAUUACUCAUGGGAUACUUAUUUUCAUGAUAGUCUUUUUCAUUUCCAAGAUAAUAAUCUUGAAAUUAUUUAGAUUUAGUUAUUUCCCUACCAUAUAGGCUAGUUUUAUGCUCUAAUUUAUUUUGAGAUGAUUUCUUCCCUAAAUCAUUAUUUUGAUUUAAUUCAUUUUCUGGUGGGAUUGUGUCCAGAGUUUCAUCUUCUGAAAUUACAGAAGUGUUUUGUUUUAAAUUACUGCCUGUAUUAUUUGGAACAUUAUCCAGAACAUUAUUAUGCCUAUUUUCUAAGAAAAUUCUAUUUUGAGUGAUAUUUAGACUAUUGAAUUGAGUGUCCAGAGCAUUCUUAUUUAUUAACUCAUCAAUGCUUAUUCCUUUUGAGUUUGUUUCUGAAAUUUCUCUUUGGUUUCUGUUUGGGCAGGAGUUUUCAGUGUCCAGAGCAUUUCUAUGUUUUAGCUCAAGGCCAUUUUCUGAAUUUAUGAGCUAGUUUUAUGAGCUAGCUCAGAAUUUGUUCCUUUUGAGUUAUUCAUUAAAUUUUCUUCUAAACGUCUGUCCAGGGUAUUGCCUGAACUGUUUUGAAGAUCAUUCUUGCAAAAAAAUUCAGAUUUCCUCUUUUUUAAGUUCCUGCCUAAUUGAUCUGAACUAUUACUCAGAUUGCCACUUAAGUUCUUUUGAACUUCAUGACUUGAGCUCUGAGUAUGUUCAGUACCUGAACUAACACAUUUUUGGUUUAUUUGGGAGUUAAAAAAAUUGUUUUCAGAUAUUUGUAUAUUUUCUUUAUUUUUGUGACUUAGAUGAGGAUUUUGAAUACUUAGAUGAAGAUUUUUAUUCAACUGAUUGUUUUCAGUUGUUCUUAAUGAUUCUUCUUCUAAUGUAUUACUUUUGUGUAUAUCAUCCUUAUCUAGAUUACUUUGGUUCUUAAAACAAUGAUUUUCUGAAUUUUGAGUCUCAAUUGACCCACUUUUAUUUUUAUUUUGAGAUUUUUCUUCUUUAUGAUUUGAAUAUGUAUUUUCUUUCUCUUUUCUUUGAUCAGGCAUGACUGAAAUGUUAUUUUCAGAAUCCAAUAUCUUCAUUUUUUCAGAUAUUUGAAAUUCUGAUUUUUUAGUUGAGAAACCAUCAUUUUCAGAUCUUGUUGUGCUUUUGUUGUCAAUUUUAGAAUCAUAGUAUUUAUAUAUAAUUCUAUUAUAUAUAUAUAUAUAUAUCUUCAUAUGAUCUAUUAUUUUGUGUUUGAUCUUGAUGAUUUUUGAAACAAUCAUCUUUAAAUGGAAAAAUGUUUUCCUUAAAAAUUAUAUUUCUAGAAAUAUGAAACUUUUUAGUUUCUAUGUCUAAUAUUAAAUAUCCUUUAAUAUUAGAAGGAUAUCCCAUAAAUAUACCUUUAAAGGUUCUUUGAGAGAAUUUAUGUUCUCUAAUAUUAGUUGUUGCAUAGCAUAAACAUCCAAAAAUUCUUAUUGAGUUAUAAUUGGGUGUUUUAUUAUUAAGUAUUUCAUAUGGAGUUUUAUUUUCCAAUAUUUUGGAUGGAAUUCUAUUGAUUAUGUGAGUAGUUGUCAAUAUACACUCUCCCCAAUAUAUUAGGGGAAUUCCUCCUUGAAAGUGUAAGGAUCUAGCUACCUCUAGCAAACGCCUAUGUUUUCUCUCAACUAUAGCAUUUUGUUGAGCUGUAUAUGGACAAGUGAGUUGAUGGGUUAUUCCAUAUGUUUCUAGUGUUUUUCUAAAAGAAUGUGAGGUGAAUUCACCUCCAUUAUCACUCCUUAUAAUUUUAAUAUUUUUGUCAAAAAAGUUUUUAACUCUAGCUAUGAAUGUUUUAAUGUGUCUAGAGCCAUGUCCAUUGUUUUUAAAAGAAAAGUCCAAGUGACCCUACUUAGAUCUUCCACAAUGGCUAAAAAAUAAGAAAAACCAUCAUGUGUCAUAAUUGGGAAUUUACCUCAAAUAUCUAUAUGAAUUAAAUCAAAAAGAGAUUUAGAUUUAGACAAGUUAUUUUUAUACUUUAAUUUAUUUUGUUUUGCAAGUGGACAAACAAGACAAUUAUCUUUAAUACUUGAAAGAUUUUUAUUUAUCGAAGAAAAAAUAUUCAGAACAUCAACUGUUUUACAUCCUUUAUUUUCAUAAUUUAAAAUACAAUUUUUUCUAGAAUCUAUACUCUCAGCAUUGAUUAAUAUCCUCAUUUUCUCUGCUGAGAUAUACACAAGCCUCUUGUGCCAGGUCUCAAGGUCUAUGGAUGAAUUGGCAGAGUCAAUUUGAGGCUUGAGGAAGUAAAACCCAUUUUUACACCCACCCUGCCCAAUCACUCUCCCUAACCUGUUUUCCUGAAAAUCACAUCCAUCUCUGUUAAAAUUUAAAUUUAGGUAUGAAUCACUUGCUAUUUUAUGUACUGAAUCACUUGCUACUUUUAAGAAUGAGGUUUUCAGAAAUUGUUAUAUUUCCAAUUGAUAUAACUUUGCAUACUUCUCCACUAAAAAUGAUCACAUAGUGAUUAUAUUCACUUUUGAGAGUGUUAUCAAAAAAAUUAAGGUUCCCAGUCAUAUGUUGGGAUGCUCCAGUGUCAAUUAUCCAUUUAUUUUGGUAAUUUGAAUUAUUUAAAGAAAAAGAAAAAAACAUACCUGCGGAUUUACUUAGUAAAUCCUUGAGUAAUAAUAAUUCCUCAUUGUUGAGAUUGGGUAUAUUUGCUGAAGUAUUAGCUUGAUUGGCAGUAUCUCUGCCCUUUCUGUAUUUGUCUUUCUUGUCUUUAUUGGGGAAACCUACUAGAUGGAAACAAUUUUCCCUAACAUGACCAAAAUACUUAUAAUUGUCGCAAUAGUAUUUUGUGUCCAAUUUCUUUCCAUUUCUACUAUAUAUUCCUUUUUUCUUGAAUUCUUCUUUCUUUUCUUCUUUAUCAUUACUCUUAGCAAGCAUAGCUGUAGAACUACCUCCCACCUUUUCUUUAAAAUUCAGUUUUUGUUUUUCCUCUUGUAUAACUAGUGAAAAAACUUGAUUCAUGGGGGGUAGUUCAGAAUAGGCUAAGAUCUGACUUCUUAUGGUCAUAAAGUCCUCAUUGAGGCCUAAUAGGAACUGAUGAGUCCUAUCCUUCUCUAACUUCCUUGUGUAAAUGGGUGCACAUGUUGUGCAAAAUUUAUACUCGGGUUUUUCUAUUUCUAUGUAUUGAUUUCAUAGGGAUUUGAAUUUAUCAAAAUAUACUGAAACAGAAUUACUAGCUUGAUUUAAAGUAUCAAUUUCAUACCUUAGCUGACUAGUUUUUGGAGCAUUUUUCUAUUUAUACCUUUCUUGAAGCUCAGUCCAUGCUUCAUAGGCAGUCUCUGUGUGAAUUAAGGUGGAGGCUAUCUGAGGGCUUACUCCAUUGAUAAUCCAGGAGAGAACCCAGCCCAUUCACCAUCUCCCAAUCCUCAAAAUCAUCUCCUGUCUCAUCCACUGGUUUCUUAAUCUUGCCAUUAAUGAAGGCUGUCUUUUUUCUUGAAACUAAGGAUAACUUCAUAGAAUUGGCCCAGGCGACGUAGUUGGCCUCACCACUUAGUUUAUCUGAGACCAUUUGUGCCCCUGGAUGAUCUCCAACUGACAUAAAAAAUGGGGAUUUUCUAGAGACUUCUUGCUCCACAGAGUUAAUCUUUUGCUUCUUAUUCACUGACGUUUUUCUUCUUCUUCUUGUAGCUUUGAAAAAUCUGCUAUUCUCUUCAGAAGAUGUCGUCGUGUAUUGAUUUAAAGUGUUCCUUGAAAAGCCUUUAGAUUCUUCUCCACUGCCAGAGUUGUUUGCAAAUGCGGAAUUUGUAUCCAGGUCAACAUUGUUACCUACUGAUACCAUAUUAAAAGAUGAAGACUAGGUAGUCGCGCCGGCGAUAAUCGUAUUGUUAUAUCAGGAUCACCGGAGAUAUGAUUAUUGGAGAAGAUUAACGAAAGGGGGAAGAACUUAGGUCAUUUGCACUGUAGCAACGGUUGAGAAGUAACCGUUAGUGCGAGAGAGGUUUAGAGAGGGAUUAGAAUGAUUCAAUUGAUUCAAUUGAUUAAUUUUGUUAAUUACAAUGUUAUUUAAUACAAUUGAAACUAACUAAUUUUACAACAAACUCUAUUACAAUAUAAAGUUUCGGCCCAUACGCAAUUGGCCCGUUAAGCAUUUAUUGAAACUAUUACGUUUUGGUCCUGCAUAAUAAACUUAGUACAAGAACUAGUUAAACACUUACAACAUUUAUUUAAUUCGUUUUAGGUCCAAUUUACAUAAUUACAGAUUCUGUAUUAUGUUUAUAAUUGGCUUAAUCUAACUAAGUUUAAUUAAUUCCUUUAGAUGAUGUGGCCAUUGAGUAUUGAGGAAGAUGAUGGAGGCGGCGUUUGGAUUGGGUUCUAGAGUACAAGAAGGGGGAGAAAUAUAUAUAAGUAUAGAUAAACGGGUAUUCAGAUAACAUUUUCUAGACCUUAUGUGACGGGUCAUCGUAACGGGUUACCGGGUUAGGGUUAUAUCAACCAGUAUUACAAUUAACUAAUAAGAGGCAAAUUGGAAAAAUUACUUCCUAACAACCCCUAACCACCUAAGAGGCUAAUACCUAGGUUUGGUGGUUACUUUUGACAACCAAACCAUCUUAGGUGGUUAGAAAUGAAACCCACCUACAAAGUAAAUAUUAAAUUUCAGAUUUUUUUAUUUAAUAACAGAUUGUAAAACUAAGUUAUAUCAUGGUAAAAAUUAAAUUAAAAUUACAAUCUUAAUAAUUACAAUUUCUUAUAUAAGUAAAAAAUAAAAUGUGAGAAUAAUCGACACUAAAUUAAACUUCUAUCUCUUUUCAUUUUUCUCCAUCUUUUUCAUUUAAAAUCUAAGGUUUCAUGUAGGAUUGAGAACAUAUUGGAGUCAUCUUCUGAGACAAGAUUUUGCUCCAUUAUCUUGUUUUUUGGAACGAGAAAAAUAACAUUUUUUUUCUUUUGUUUUUACUUCGCCCAUCUCGUCUCGGUCCUAUUUUUCGAGGCGUGAUAUAACUCGUAUGAAUCGUACAACUAAGAAUCACUUCACCUGAGAUGAAGAGAGUCUCCGGUCCGGCGAUCAACAUACCACGAAUAUCAAGAGAUGCUCACGACGAGGAUAAAAUCUGAAAUCAAGAUUUAGUCCAAGACAGAUUUUUGCUGUUAUAAGCAAUCUGGCUGGAUACUCGAUUCGGCUGAUGGUUGCUGGCGAACAGCGAUGGAUGGUCAUGUACUCGAUCUUGUGUCGGAUGGUGAUGAGGUGGUUGUCGUUUGAGAAGUUUAGGAAAUUGUUUUAUCAAAUUGAUAGUACCAUUUUCAUUAAAAUUGGCGUAUGAAGUUUAAUAUUUGUAACUGCUAUUACAACAUUACAACAUUUAAUAAAAUUUUAAUAAAAUAACGAUUCUUAAGCAAAUAGCAAUAUUAGUCUUUAAAAUAGACAGAAUACUGGGCCGGCCCAUAACCUUUUCAAUUACCCCCAAAUUGGGUAACAAAAUCCUAAAAUCGACGCGGAGCCCUAGCUGCUCUUAUCGGGCACCCGAUAACUAGUUCAUCCCCAACGUUUGGAACAUGUAAAUUCCGCACAACCUGACCUGCGAUAUCUCUUGCAGCUGGCCUAGUCGUAUCAUCUCCUCCACCUCUGAGAAUCGCCAUGUCCUCACUGGCAAUGGAUAGAAACAUCGUCUCCAUGCUGUUUUCGACUCUCCCAAGACGCAUCCUCCGAUGACGACCAGCUCCAAUGGACCAGAACUUGCUCUGUUUGUUUUCCGUUCAGGUAAAUUCUUCUUGAAUCAAUUAUUGCAUUAGGAUAUAUAUAUAAUCGGUUGAUUGUUGAUAGCUAAGAUUUGAUUUACUUCUUCAUGUGGUGGUAAUUCUCCUUUGUAGGGCUUCAUUUUGGAUAUGUGAAAGGUGUUAUGAAUUUUGCUGCCCUGAGGUAAUGCUACUAUGUAUGUUGCUCUACUGAUUUUCUUUAUUAUCUUGUAGGGACCAAAAUACUUUUAAUUUGCGUUAUUUUUUAUUCAAUCUGUAUGAGUGCUUUGUUUGUAGGGUUUUUAUUUGACCCAUAUCCAAUCUCCCACCUUGAAUUCAAUAUCUUUUCUCUUUGUGUCUGCCUUUAGCUUCAUUAAUUCCCGACAUUUCUUGAGAUUUGUUUUGAUGUGUUUUAGAGCUUCUUCCCUUACUUGCAUAUUAGAAUCUACUGUGUCUAUACUUGAAUCUCCCGGAUUAUAAUGAAUAAUUCCUGGUAGAUCUCUGCCAUAUAAAACAUUAAAAGGUGUUGUCUUGAUUGAUGAGUGAUAAUUGGUAUUAUACCAAAGUUCAGCCCAUGAUAAUAAGCUUAACCAUUUUUUGGGUUGACAGAAGCACCUUAGAUACAUCUCUAAUCCUCUGUUAACCACCUCUGUUUGACCAUCACUUUCAGGGUGAUAUGUAGUUGAGUAAUGUAGUUUGAUUCCACUCUCCUUGUGUAAUUCUUUCUAAAAUUUAGAAGUGAAUAUUUUAUUCCUAUCCGAAACAAUGAAAUUUGGUAUUCCAUGGAGCUUGAUGACCAUUGAUGUAAAUAAUUCAGACACCAUACUUGCAUUGAAAUUUGUGGGCAAGGCUCUAAAAUGUGCAUAUUUUGAUAAUCUAUCCACAACUACCAUGAUGACUGUUUUUUCUUGGGUUAAUGGUAUAGCUCAGUGACGAAGUCCAUUGUUACAUUCUUCCAAACCAAGUUAGGUAUUGGUAGUGGCAUCAACAAUCCUGCUUUCUUUUGAUUUAUUGGUUUCAUCUGUUGAUAAAAUUGCAUAAUUUAUCACAAAUUCUCUGAUAUCUUUAGACAUACCUUCCCACCAAAACUGGAAAUUUAUUCUUUUAAUAGUUGCUUUUAUCUCAGAGUGGCCUCCAGUUACUGCUGAAUGGUAUUCCUUCAUGAUCUCUUUCCUGAUUUCAAAAUCCUUUGAUAGGUAUAUUCUGCCCAUGAAUUUAAUUAUGCCUCCUUGAUCGAAUUGUAAAUCCCACCCUUGAGUUAGGAUUUUUGCUAACUUCUUCCAUCAAUUCUGUCAAUGAUGUGGACUCCCUAUUUUCUUUUCUGAUUUCAUUUAUCAAAUUAUAAAUAGGAGUUGAUAAGGCUAAAAAUGAACUUGGAUUUCCUUUGGAUGAAUGAGAAUAAAUAAUUUCUUACUCUCCUUCUUCAAAUGAUCUAGAGAGUGCAUCAGCCACUACAUUUGAUUUUCCUGGCUUGUAUACAAUCUGAAAAUCAAAUCUCAGUAAUUUACAUAAGAAUAUCGGCUGUUCUGGGGUCUGUAUGACUUGUGUCAAUAGAUUCUUUAGACUUAUGUGAUCCGUCCUUAUAGUAAAUGAAGCACCCAGCAAAUAAUGUCUCCAUUUAUGGACUGAUCGUGUGAUUGCAAACAUCUCCUUUAUGUAAAUUGAAGCACCUGCAAUUUUUCCAGAUAUUUAGCAGCUGUAAAAAGAAAUAGUAUGAUCUUCUUGCAUGUAUAAGUACUGCUCUUACUCCACUAUUGCAAGCAUCUGUCUCUAAUAUGAAUUUUUUUUCGAAAUCUGGAAAUGCUAGGACUGGAGCUUUUAUCAUGGCUGCCUUCAGAGUCUCAAAACUUGCUUUACUGUCUUCAGACCAUUUAAAAUUAUCCUUCUUCAGUAAAUUUGUCAUUGAAGCAACAAUCUGAGCAUAAUUUUUAUGAACCUUCUAUAGUAGCCAGAUAGUCCCAAAAAACCUCUGAGCUGUUUGAUGGUCUGUGGCACCUUCCAUUUUGUCAUAUCACUUACUUUAUCUGGAUCAGGAUGUACUCCUUUCUCUGAAAUUAUAUGUCUUAAAAACCCAAUAGAUGAUUUCCCAAAUGAGCACUUUGAUAGCUUUGCUAGUAAUUGGUUGUUUCUGAGUAUCUCAAAUACUCUGCCCAAAUGAAAUAUGUGUUCCUUCAGUGAAGGGUUGUAGAUCAGUAUAUAAUCAAAAAAUAUAAUCACAAAUUUUCUCAAUAUUAUUUUGAAAACCGAGUUCAUAACUGUCUGACAUAUAGUUGGAGCAUUGGUUAACCCAAAUGGCAUAACCAUGAAUUCAAAGUGGCCUUCAUGAGUUCUGAAUGUUGUUUUGUGAGUGUCUGAUGGGCAAACUCUGAUCUGAUAAAAACCAAACCUCAGAUCUAAUUUUGAAAAUAUUGUAGAUCCUUUCAAUUCCCCAAGCAAUUCAUCCACAGUUGAGAUGAGGAAUUUAUCUUUGAUAGUUAGAGCAUUGAGUGCUCUAUAAUCUACACACAUCUUGUAUCCCUAUCUUUCUUUUUUAUGAGUAAUACAGGAGAAGAAUAUGGGCUUAGACUGGGUUUGAUGGUGCCUUAAUCCAGCAUUUCUGAAAUUAACUUUUCAAUCUCAUUUUUCUGAAAUUGUGGGUACAUGUAAGGUCUCACAAUAACUGGUUUAGCUCCUGGUACUAAAUGUAUAUCAAAUGAUUUCUUUCUCUCUGUGGGGGCAGGCAUGUUGGAUAAAUAAAAAUAUCUGAAAAUUCUUUUACCACCUCGUGAAUUUCUGGUUUUUCUUUGCUCAGAGAUCUGUUGGUUUCAUUAUUUGAAAAAGUUUCAUAAUAACAUAAAUAAGCCUCUGUUGUUACCUGACACAAGCUUUUCAGUUCCCCCACUGUUAAUGGAUCAUCAUAAAUCCAUGAUAUUCCUUGCCAAGUUAUUUCUUUUCUUGCCCACUUGAACUUCAUUGUUAACUUUUCAUAAUUUGAAACGAUAUACCUCAAUUUUUUUAGCCAUUGGAUCUCAAUUACUAAGUUUGAUCCAGCCAUUGGUAUCAGAAAUACAUCUAUCAUUAAUUACUACCACUCCUUGAAUCUUUAUUUCUACAUCUUUGCAUACUUUGUCGCAAGUAAGAUUUUCUCCACUACAUGUGGCUACUUUAAAGGGUCUAGUAGCAUGUAUAGUUAAUUUUAAAGCAGAUGCUACUGCUAGUUGCAUAAAAUUAUGUGUUGAACCAGAAUCUACUAGAAUACUCAUAGAUUGCAUUUUUAUAAAUCCUUCUAAUCGGAUUAUGCUUGGAUUCAUUUGACCUUCAAAUGCAUGCAUGUUGAUACCAGUGGGAGCUUCAUUACUUCUUAUGAUGGGAAUUUCCUCAAGUUCCUCCUCCAUAUUUAUAAUCUCUUCUUGUUCUUCCAUUUCUAGCAAAUAUGAUUCAUCAGCAGAAAGCAUGAACAUUUUACCUUUGCAAUAUUUAUGUCUUGGUAUAAAUCUGUCAUCACAAUUAAAACAGAGUCCUUUUGUUGUCCUUUCUUUCCUUUCCUUAGGUGAUAAUCUUUUGAAAACUGGUUUAGUUGUGGGUUGUUCUUGACUUCCUUUAGCAUACUGAAUUUUUUCUGUUGGUGUUGGAUUUGUCAGCUCCUUGGGUCGAUAUCUCCAAGUGUUUCUUGAUGAUUUAGGGAUCCAGCUUGAUUCACUUCCCACUUGCUUCCCUUCCACUAAGGCUGUCAUGUCAAAUGCUUCUUAUAUGUCAUUUGACUUAAAUUUCACUACUUCUUUCUGAAUGUCAUCUUUGAGGUCAGAAAUAAAUAUUUCCAGUAUGAAAUAAUCUGGUAGACCCAGACACCUUGUGCAUCUUUUUUCAAACUCUGUUUGAUAUUCAGCUACAGAACCCAACUGCAUUAAUUUGCUUAAUUUACCCCCAGGGAGAGUGUAGUUACCUCUGCUGAAUUUUUUGCACAAGUCUUUUACAAAUCUUUUCCAAUCAGUGAGAAAAUUGCUAGCCUCCAUUCAUGAGAACCAUUUUCUUGCUAUUCCAUCCAUGUGAAAUGAAGCCAUUAAUUAAUAAUUUUUGUUCUUUCGAAAGUCUUGUUGUAGACGAAGAAUCUUCUAACUUGAUAUAGCUAAUCUUUUAUAUCCUUGCCAUCAAAUCUUGGCAUAUUGACGUUAAUGUUUCUUGUUGGACAAUACUUGUCAUCAUUUAGUAUACUAGCUGCAUGCCAGUAUAUGUGGGGUUGUCAAGAUCCACUAGAGAUAGAUAGUUUUGAUCAUCAAAUCUUGACAUAUUGACGUUAAUGUUUGCUUGACAAUACUUGUCAUCAUUUAGUAUGCUAGCUGCAUAUGUGGGGUUGUCAAGAUCCACUAGAGAUUGCUUCAAAAAAAAAAAAAAAAGAUCCACUAGAGAUAGAUAGUUUAGAUCAUCAAAUUCCCUGUUUUGUUUGCUUUGUUCACCAUCAGGUGGUUCUGGAUAUUUUGCUUCUCUUCCUCCUUUCAUUAUUAUUUGAGAUCUGUGAUAUUGUAUUUGUUAUGGAUAUUCGAAAUUCAGUCAUCUCCUUUGUUUGAUCCAUUUGUAAUGCUUGUAAUAUUUUGAAAUCGAGAUUUGCAGAUAAUUUCAGAUUAGAGGCCAUUGUUAUUCUGCAAUUAAAAGAGUUCGAAAAUUUUGAAAGCAUCAAUGAUACAACUCGUAUAAAUCGUACAAUUAAGAAUCACUUCACCUGAGAUAAAGAGAGUCUCUAGUCCGGCAAUCAACAGACCACUGAUACCGAGAGAUGCGCACGGCGAGGAUAAACCUCUGAAAUCAAGAUUUAGUCCAAGACAGAUUUUUGCUGUUAUAAGCAAUCUGACUGGAUACUCGAUGCGACUGAUGGUUGCUGGCUAACGACGGAUGGUCGUAUUGUACUUGAUCUUGUGUCGGAUGGUGAUAGGGUGGUUGUCGUUUGAGAAGUUUAGGAAAUUGUUUUAUCAAAUUGGUAGUUAUCAUUUUCAAUAAAAUUGACUUAAAAUAAACAGAAAACCGGGUCGGACCAUAACCUUUUCAAUUACCCCCAAAUUGGGUAACGAAAUCUUAAAAUCGGCACGAAGUCCUAGCUGCUCUUAAUUUUAAUAAAAUUUCCUAAAACAGAGUUAUUUUAAAAAUAACGAUUCUUAAGCAAAUAGCAAUAUUAGUCUUUAAAAUAAACAGAAUACUGGGUCGGACCAUAACCUUUUCAAUUACCCCCAAAUUGGGUAACGAAAUCUUAAAAUCGGCACGGAACCCUAACUGUUCUUAUUGGACAUCUAAUAACUGGUUCACCCCCAACGUCUGGAACAUGUAAAUCAUGCACAACCUGACCUGCGAUAUCUCUUGCAGCUGGCUGAGUGGCUGAGUCGUAUCAGGAUCUCAAUUCACGGCUGCCCUGGUGGCCUCAUUUUUGCCAAAUCCCGCGACAUGUUUUUUCUUCAAAUUCCAUCAAAACCCAAGAUCUACCCAAGACUCGGAUUUUCAACUGAGUUAUGAACAAGAUCAACGUCUUCUCUUUUAUUAUAAUCGUCAAUCACUUUGAAAUUUGAAA
RNAcentral lists this long non-coding RNA (18913 nucleotides) under Zostera marina. RNAcentral's name for it is "long non-coding RNA (ZMAR_LNC004457)". The record is from RNAcentral. Lineage: Eukaryota; Viridiplantae; Streptophyta; Magnoliopsida; Alismatales; Zosteraceae.